Small nucleolar RNA from Rhopalosiphum padi (bird cherry-oat aphid), 204 nucleotides. RefSeq annotates it as small nucleolar RNA U3. The transcript has a single exon. The record is from RefSeq and is a predicted model, not a curated record. NCBI's taxonomy places the organism in Eukaryota, Metazoa, Arthropoda, Insecta, Hemiptera, Aphididae.
AAGAUCAUACUUCACAGGAUCAUUUCUGUAGUGUGCAUCGUCUCCUCCAGGUGCAAAUCUGGAGUCGUCAUCGACCACGAUGAUGAGACUAAUCCAUCUACUUGAGCGUGAGAUCACUGGUUAUCUUUCGUUCUGCGAGCAUGAUAAUCUAGCAACGAUGAUCGCUUACGGUUCGCCGGUUGGUGGGUGGACAGCCUGAGUGGU